UGCCAGCAGCCGCGGUAAUACGUAGGGUGCUAGCGUUGUUCGGAAUUACUGGGCGUAAAGCGCAUGUAGGCGGCCGAUUAAGUCAGAUGUGAAAGCCCUGGGCUCAACCCGGGACGUGCAUCUGAUACUAAUUGGCUUGAGUACAGGAGAGGGUAGUGGAAUUUCUGGUGUAGUGGUGAAAUACGUAGAUAUCAGAAGGAACAUCGGUGGCGAAGGCGGCUGCCUGGCCUUGUACUGACGCUGAGAUGCGAAAGCGUGGGGAGCAAACAGGAUUAGAUA
RNAcentral lists this ribosomal RNA (279 nucleotides) under uncultured bacterium. Its description in RNAcentral is "partial 16S ribosomal RNA". It matches the Rfam family "Bacterial small subunit ribosomal RNA", at positions 506 to 784 of the family's 1533-position model. The record is from RNAcentral.